AGCAAAGUAGCAUCCCUUUCGUUUCUGAUCAUUGAAAAUACUUUCAGGUCAUCGGCAUAUAGCAAAAAAUUUGCGAAUGAAAAACAUGAGCUAAUGUCAUUUAUGAAUAAUAUAAAAAGUAAAGGACCUAAAAUACUUCCCUGGGGUACCCCAGAGGAGGCAAGGAAUGCAUCUGACGAAAUGUCAUCUAUCGAGACAACACAGCGCCUGUUGAUCAAGUAGGAUUUAAUCCACUUCAAAAAAA
Rhagoletis zephyria (snowberry fruit fly) is the source of this 244-nucleotide long non-coding RNA. RefSeq lists it as uncharacterized. NCBI's taxonomy places the organism in Eukaryota, Metazoa, Arthropoda, Insecta, Diptera, Tephritidae. The record is from RefSeq and is a predicted model, not a curated record.